AACGAACGCUGGCGGCGUGGAUAAGACAUGCAAGUCGAACGGGAUUUUUUUCUGUAGCAAUACAGAAAAAAGUCUAGUGGCGAACGGGUGCGUAACACGUGAGCAACCUGCCGUGAAGUGGGGGAUAGCUCGCCGAAGGGCGAAUUAAUACCGCAUGUGGCCAAGGAAGACAUCUUCCUGACGCCAAAGCCGGGGCAACCUGGCGCUUCUCGAGGGGCUCGCGGCCUAUCAGCUUGUUGGUGAGGUAACGGCUCACCAAGGCUAUGACGGGUAGCUGGUCUGAGAGGACGACCAGCCACACUGGAACUGAGACACGGUCCAGACACCUACGGGUGGCAGCAGUCGAGAAUUUUUCACAAUGGGGGAAACCCUGAUGGAGCGACGCCGCGUGGAGGAUGAAGGUUUUCGGAUUGUAACUCCUGUCAUUAGAGAACAAGGCACACAGUUUAACUGGCCGUGUGUUGAUAGUAUCUGAAGAGGAAGAGACGGCUAACUCUGUGCCAGCAGCCGCAGUAA
This 516-nucleotide ribosomal RNA is filed under the name uncultured bacterium. RNAcentral's name for it is "partial 16S ribosomal RNA". It matches the Rfam family "Bacterial small subunit ribosomal RNA", at positions 29 to 523 of the family's 1533-position model. The record is from RNAcentral.